Molecule: ribosomal RNA, 475 nt
Filed under: uncultured Glomus
Lineage: Eukaryota; Fungi; Glomeromycota; Glomeromycetes; Glomerales; Glomeraceae
Description: SSU rRNA
Rfam family: Eukaryotic small subunit ribosomal RNA
Source: RNAcentral
AGCAGCCGCGGUAAUUCCAGCUCCAAUAGCGUAUAUUAAAGUUGUUGCAGUUAAAAAGCUCGUAGUUGAAUUUCGGGACUAAUAUGUCGGUCGUACUUUGUACGUACUAGCAUUAUUGGUUUCUCCCUUCUGACGAACCACGAUGUCAUUAAUUUGGUGUCAUGGGAAAUCAGGACUGUUACUUUGAAAAAAUUAGAGUGUUUAAAGCAAGCUCGCGCUUGAAUACAUUAGCAUGGAAUAAUGAAAUAGGACGUUUGAUUCUAUUUUGUUGGUUUCUAGGAUCGACGUAAUGAUUAAUAGGGAUAGUUGGGGGCAUUAGUAUUCAAUUGUCAGAGGUGAAAUUCUUGGAUUUAUUGAAGACUAACUACUGUGAAAGCAUUUGCCAAGGAUGUUUUCAUUAAUCAAGAACGAAAGUUAGGGGAUCGAAGACGAUCAGAUACCGUCGUAGUCUUAACCAUAAACUAUGCCGACUAGG